UCACAGCUAUUACUGCGUCUUUCGAUGUCCUGUCUAUGAUUAUGCCCAUUCCGUUCUUGUUUAUAAUGUAAUAUUUGAUUUUACUUAUUUGUCCUUUCAAACAUUUACCCCUUCAUCUUUAUUUUAUAUAAUAUAGAUUAAAAACAAGGGCUUACAACCCAUCAUCUUUGUAAAACAAUAAAAGAUCAAAUGGGGCAGUUGAAUUUUGGUAUAAUUAGCUGGCCUAUCAUUCAAAUCAAUAUAACUUUCCUGCGAUUGAAUCUAAGUUACAUGAAUAGACAAAAGAACUGCAAAAUGGAAGCAAUUUCUUCUUCUGGGGAAUUCUUUACUUGUCUGAUAUAUUUGAUAGGGUGGGUUGAUAUUGAUAAGAACAUACUUUGGUAAAUGACAAACGUAUCUGGUGUCUCUUUGUUGUUCUGCUUAGCUACAGAGUACAUAAA
This 440-nucleotide unclassified non-coding RNA is filed under the name Hevea brasiliensis (rubber tree). Lineage: Eukaryota; Viridiplantae; Streptophyta; Magnoliopsida; Malpighiales; Euphorbiaceae. The record is from RNAcentral.